UACAGAGAGGGCAAGCGUUGUUCGGAAUGACUGGGCGUAAAGGGCGCGUAGGCGGUUUGUUAAGUUGGAUGUGAAAUCCCCGGGCUUAACCUGGGAACUGCAUUCGAUACUGGCAGACUUGAGGCCGAGAGAGGAAAGCGGAAUGACGAGUGUAGAGGUGAAAUUCGUAGAUAUUCGUCGGAACACCAGAGGCGAAGGCGGCUUUCUGGCUCGGACCUGACGCUGAGGCGCGAAAGCGUGGGGAG
Molecule: ribosomal RNA, 245 nt
Filed under: uncultured Acetobacteraceae bacterium
Lineage: Bacteria; Pseudomonadati; Pseudomonadota; Alphaproteobacteria; Acetobacterales; Acetobacteraceae
Description: partial 16S ribosomal RNA
Rfam family: Bacterial small subunit ribosomal RNA
Source: RNAcentral